UCUUUUUGUUUUUUAUAUAAGGUCAGACCUGCCCAAUGAAUUUUAAAUGGCCGCAGUACUUUAACUGUGCAAAGGUAGCAUAAUAAUUUGUUUUUUAAUUGGAAACUAGUAUGAAUGGUCAUACGAGGGAUUGACUUUCUUUAUCUUACUUAAAUUAAUUUUAUUUUUCUGUGAAAAAGCAGAGAUUUCAUUAGUAGACGAUAAGACCCUUUAAAACUUUAUUCAUUAUAGAAGUAUAAUUUUGUUAGGUUUUAAUAGUGUACUUUUUUAAUGAGUUUUGUUGGGGCGACAGGUAAAUUUAUUUAACUUUAUUUUUGUUUUUCACUAAUUAGUGUUUAUUUGAUCCAGAUUUAGUUUUGAUUAAAAGUUUAAGUUACUUAAGG
Molecule: ribosomal RNA, 383 nt
Filed under: Cimex lectularius (bed bug)
Lineage: Eukaryota; Metazoa; Arthropoda; Insecta; Hemiptera; Cimicidae
Description: partial 16S ribosomal RNA
Rfam family: Eukaryotic large subunit ribosomal RNA (bases 1-146)
Source: RNAcentral